This 289-nucleotide ribosomal RNA is filed under the name uncultured bacterium. RNAcentral describes it as "partial 16S ribosomal RNA". It matches the Rfam family "Bacterial small subunit ribosomal RNA", at positions 355 to 636 of the family's 1533-position model. The record is from RNAcentral.
UAGGGAAUCUUCCACAAUGGACGCAAGUCUGAUGGAGCAACGCCGCGUGAGUGAAGAAGGUCUUCGGAUCGUAAAGCUCUGUUGUUGGUGAAGAAGGGUAGAGGCAGUAACUGGUCUUUAUUUGACGGUAAUCAACCAGAAAGUCACGGCUAACUACGUGCCAGCAGCCGCGGUAAUACGUAGGUGGCAAGCGUUGUCCGGAUUUAUUGGGCGUAAAGCGAGCGCAGGCGGAAUGAUAAGUCUGAUGUGAAAGCCCACGGCUCAACCGUGGAACUGCAUCGGAAACUGU